UACAGAGGUGGCAAGCGUUGUUCGGAAUUACUGGGCGUAAAGGGCGCGUAGGCGGCCUUCUAAGUCGGACGUGAAAGCCCCAGGCUUAACCUGGGAACGUGCGUCUGAUACUGGAAGGCUUGGAUUCGGGAGAGGGAUGUGGAAUUCCAGGUGUAGCGGUGAAAUGCGUAGAUAUCUGGAGGAACACCGGAGGCGAAAGCGGUCCACUGGGCAACUUCUGACGCUGAGAUGCGAAAGCUAGGGUAGCAAAC
This 251-nucleotide ribosomal RNA is filed under the name uncultured bacterium. Its description in RNAcentral is "partial 16S ribosomal RNA". It matches the Rfam family "Bacterial small subunit ribosomal RNA", at positions 524 to 773 of the family's 1533-position model. The record is from RNAcentral.